CCUACGGGAGGCAGCAGUGGGGAAUUUUGGACAAUGGGCGCAAGCCUGAUCCAGCCAUGCCGUGUGCGGGAAGAAGGCCUUCGGGUUGUAAACCGCUUUUGUCAGGGAAGAAACGCUCCGGGCUAAUACCCUGGGGUAAUGACGGUACCUGAAGAAUAAGCACCGGCUAACUACGUGCCAGCAGCCGCGGUAAUACGUAGGGUGCAAGCGUUAAUCGGAAUUACUGGGCGUAAAGCGUGCGCAGGCGGUCUUGCAAAGACAGAUGUGAAAUCCCCGGGCUCAACCUGGGAACUGCAUUUGUGACUGCAAGGCUAGAGUACGGUAGAGGGGGAUGGAAUUCCGCGUGUAGCAGUGAAAUGCGUAGAUAUGCGGAGGAACACCGAUGGCGAAGGCAAUCCCCCUGGACCUGUACUGACGCUCAUGCACGAAAAGCGUGGGGAGCAAAACAGGAUUAGAUACCCUGGUAGUCCACGCCCUAAAACGAUGUCAACUGGUUAGUUGGGAAGGUUCCUUCUCAGUAACGUAGCUAACGCGUGAAGUUGACCGCCUGGGAGUACGGCCGCAAGGUUGAAACGUUAAAGAAAGUUAGAACGGNGNGAGAGAGCGAGACGACGACGAGGAGAGGAG
Molecule: ribosomal RNA, 627 nt
Filed under: uncultured bacterium
Lineage: Bacteria
Description: bacterial SSU rRNA
Rfam family: Bacterial small subunit ribosomal RNA
Source: RNAcentral